This is a long non-coding RNA of Oreochromis aureus, 947 nucleotides long. NCBI's taxonomy places the organism in Eukaryota, Metazoa, Chordata, Actinopteri, Cichliformes, Cichlidae. The record is from Ensembl.
GUAGUUUGACACACCCACAGCUGAGCCUUGUCAAGUAGGAGGUGACACUUUGUGUGUGCUUCAGUCCUUCAUGUUGUAAUUCAUCACUUCUCUUGUCAAUAGCAGAAACUUUGAUGGCAGCUGCACAUUUGGCCAUGAGUGGUGUCACAACUGCCAAAGCCUCAUUCAUGAUUUUGACUCUGCUGUGUCUGGUCCAUUUUUCAAGUUCAAUGAUAAACAAGGAUCAACUGGAGGUACUGAAAGCAAACAUUCAAAGAUUACAACAAGAAACAAUGAGAAGGAAGGCUGAAAAUAAUUUGGACAGAGCCUACAUUCCAGCUAUUUUUGAUGAUAUUAAACGUCUCAUGAAUCCUAUGUCCGAAUUUUUGAAGUCAUUGAAUCUUCCUACAUCGCUGUUUACACCGAUACUGGAUUUAAUGGAUGACACAGAAACCUUCCUGGAAGCCAGCAAGAAGUACAUAAAUAAGUACUUUGAGUCAACAGCUGCAGUAUUCAAGGACAAUGAACAGAAGCUAAGCAGUGUGAUGGCAAUAUUAACACAACUAGAAAAGCAUAAAGAUGAAUUGUAACAUAUUAGUCAUCGUCUGUCUCUAGUAUUAAAUGUUCUGUAUUUGUAAAACUUCUCUUUCAUACUGUGCAUGGUUAGAGCCAACAAAUAAUUUUGUCAUAUUAUCUUUUCAUUGUCUUUGUUAUAAUUGAGUUCAAAUGCACUGAACUGAGAUUAUAUCUAAGUAACCUUAAUAACACUGACAAUUGUUAAUGAUUUAAAUGAUGAAAGCCUUUUAAUGUGAAUAAAGACAUUAAUACUGUUAUUAUUUCAUGUUUUUGUGCAUUGUGAUGUUCGUGAGAAAAGAGAAAAGAGCAAACACUAGAGGCUGAUUGUUCUCUAGUGUUUGCUCACUGCCCAAAAUGUAAAUUCUUUAAGCCACAAAAUGCAGAACACCCAU